UGCUAAGACAGGAUAGGAAAUUAAGAGGCAUCUUUUAAUUUUUAAAAGACCUUUUUCGAAAGGUAUACUUAAAGAGGGGCUUGCGCCACAUUAGUUAGUUGGUAAGGUAAAGGCUUACCAAGACGAUGAUGUGUAGCUGGACUGAGAGGUCGAACAGCCACAUUGGGACUGAGACACGGCCCAAACUCCUACGGGAGGCAGCAGUAAGGAAUUUUUGGCAAUGGAGGAAACUCUGACCGAGCGACGUCGCGUGAACAAUGAAGUACUUCGGUAUGUAAAGUUCUUUUAUUGAAAAAGAAAAAAUAGUGGAAAAACUAUCUUGACAUUAUUCAAUGAAUAAGCCCCGGCUAAUUAUGUGCCAGCAGCCGCGGUAAUACAUAAGGGGCGAGCGUUAUCCGGAAUUAUUGGGCGUAAAGGGUGCGUAGGCGGUUUGAUAAGUCUAUAGUUUAAAUGCAGUGCUUAACGCUGUAGCGCUAUAGAAACUGUCUGACUAGAGUUAGAUAGAGGCAAGCGGAAUUCCAUGUGUAGCGGUAAAAUGCGUAAAUAUAUGGAGGAACACCAGAGGCGUAGGCGGCUUGCUGGGUCUUAACUGACGCUGAGGCACGAAAGCGUGGGGAGCAAACAGGAUUAGAUACCCUGGUAGUCCACGCCGUAAACGAUGAGUACUAAGUGUCGGGUUUCGGCUCGGUACUGAAGUUAACACAUUAAGUACUCCGCCUGAGUAGUACGUACGCAAGUAUGAAACUUAAAGGAAUUGACGGGACCCCGCACAAGCGGUGGAUCAUGUUGUUUAAUUCGAAGAUACACGAAAAACCUUACCAGGUCUUGACAUAAUUUUGCGACAUUAUAGAAAUAUAAUGAAGGUUAUCAGAAUUACAGGUGGUGCAUGGUUGUCGUCAGCUCGUGUCGUGAGAUGUUAGGUUAAGUCCUAAAACGAGCGCAACCCUUGUCGUUAGUUGCGACCACGUAAUGGUGAGCACUUUAGCGAGACUGCCAAUGAAAAAUUGGAGGAAGGUGAGGAUUACGUCAAAUCAUCAUGCCCCUUAUGAUCUGGGCUACAAACGUGAUACAAUGGCUGUUACAAAGAGUAGCUACAACGUGAGUUUUUAGCCAAUCUCAAAAAAACAGUCUCAGUUCGGAUUGAAGUCUGCAACUCGACUUCAUGAAGUUGGAAUCGCUAGUAAUCGCGAAUCAGCAUGUCGCGGUGAAUACGUUCUCGGGGUUUGUACACACCGCCCGUCAAA
RNAcentral lists this ribosomal RNA (1244 nucleotides) under Sesame phyllody phytoplasma. RNAcentral's name for it is "bacterial SSU rRNA". It matches the Rfam family "Bacterial small subunit ribosomal RNA", at positions 161 to 1401 of the family's 1533-position model. Lineage: Bacteria; Bacillati; Mycoplasmatota; Mollicutes; Acholeplasmatales; Acholeplasmataceae. The record is from RNAcentral.